Molecule: long non-coding RNA, 451 nt
Filed under: Bos taurus (domestic cattle)
Lineage: Eukaryota; Metazoa; Chordata; Mammalia; Artiodactyla; Bovidae
Description: long non-coding RNA NONBTAT018170
Source: RNAcentral
CCUGAAAUGUGUUUUAGCUUUAGGAUUUCAGAUUCAGUCAUCCUUUCCCCACUUAGUCUGGGCCGUUGUGACAGUCAUUCAGUAGAAUAUCUCUUCUUGGCUAUACAGCACUGAUUUACUUUUUGCUGGCUUUUUACCAUGACUUGCUAGAAGACACUGGAAUAGCUAGUAAAGAAAUCACAGCCUAUUGGUUGUUUAACAGUAUAGACUGCCAGGGUUCAAACAAAGGCUUUGUGACCUCAAACCUAAGCAUCAGGUGUUUUCUUCUGUAAAGGUGUUAAUAAUUAAUGCCAUUUGUUGCCCCAGGGCUGUCAUGAAGUUUAGUUGAUACGUGACAGCUUGUACUAGGCAAGGGCUUAAUAAGUGUAAGCACCGCCUGAGAGGGGUGCUCUUUAAGUAGGUAGGUUUGAAUCCCAAAGCCCUUGGUCUUUGUACACUGCCCCUACAAGGA